AUAGAAAAGAAAAAAAAAAUAUAUUGAAAACCUGAAAAGGGAGAUUUUUCAAUCGUGGCAGUAGAUAGAACGGUUAUUGGUUCUUCCAUUUGGCACCCUAUAAAUACCCCAUUUCCUCCUCACAUCAAUUAACCACAACCAUCACCUGAACUCUCAUCUCAAACCUAACUUUUCUGUUGAUAAUAAUCACAGCUUACUAAUUAAGAUGAUGGUGCCGGCAAUGAAGAAGCAAGAAGAA
This is a non-coding RNA of Arachis ipaensis, 238 nucleotides long. The record is from RefSeq and is a predicted model, not a curated record. NCBI's taxonomy places the organism in Eukaryota, Viridiplantae, Streptophyta, Magnoliopsida, Fabales, Fabaceae.